Molecule: transfer RNA, 69 nt
Filed under: Ischnocnema juipoca (Souzas robber frog)
Lineage: Eukaryota; Metazoa; Chordata; Amphibia; Anura; Brachycephalidae
Description: tRNA-Val
Source: RNAcentral
CGAAGUAUAGCUUACUUAAAGCCUUUCGCUUACACCGAAAAAAGGUCUGUUAAACCCAGACUACUCCGA